CCACACAGUGGCUCUCAACCACCUGUCACUCCAGCUCCAGGGGACCCAACGCCCUCUUCUGACCUCCGCAGCUAAUCCAAGCCCUCCGUCAGAACAAAGACAGAGAAACAAGACAUCUGCGCCUUUGCCUGGAACCCACAACUGCAUUCAGAACAGGAGGCAAUGGACUAUCCUUCCAAAUGCCAAAGGAUUACCCGGCAACCACAUGGGGUGUAGACAAGUCUCUGUUGUGCAAGGCUGUCACAUGUACUUUGGGACAUAGUACGUCUAUGACGCUUGCCCACUAGAUGCCAAUCCAUGGUCCAGGAGAUCAUGUCGGGUGUAGUCCUCACCGUACCAAUGAUGAGUUCAUGGGUCUACACACGGGCUGCUGAUGACAACACAGUGUUCCAUGUGGCAUUAUCUCGUGUGACAGAGGAAGGUCUGCCGGGGGCUUCACAUGGAGGGAAGUCACAGGGAAGACGGCUUCUUCUGCAAGUUAUGCAUAGAUGCCCCUGAAAACUCCACCCACACCCCAGAACCAGCCCUAGGGCUCAACAACAGGAGGGCAGAGCCUAAAGCACAGAGGACCUAAGCUAAAGACCUCAGAGUGUGUGUGAGUGUGUGUGUGUGUGAGUGUGUGUGUGUGUGAGUGUGUGUGUGUGUAUCUGUGUAUGUGUGUGCACAUACACAUGUGUAUUCUGUGUAUGUGCACGUGUGUGAGUGGGGAUUUG
Molecule: long non-coding RNA, 713 nt
Filed under: Cricetulus griseus (Chinese hamster)
Lineage: Eukaryota; Metazoa; Chordata; Mammalia; Rodentia; Cricetidae
Description: lncRNA (ENSCGRG00015039112.1)
Source: RNAcentral